RNAcentral lists this ribosomal RNA (468 nucleotides) under uncultured bacterium. RNAcentral describes it as "partial 16S ribosomal RNA". It matches the Rfam family "Bacterial small subunit ribosomal RNA", at positions 28 to 507 of the family's 1533-position model. The record is from RNAcentral.
GACGAACGCUGGCGGCGUGCUUAACACAUGCAAGUCGAACGGAAAGGCCCUGCUCUUGUGGGGUGCUCGAGAGGCGAACGGGUGAGUAACACGUGAGUAACCUGCCCUUGUCUUUGGGAUAACAUCAGGAAACUGGGGCGAAUACCGGAUAGGAGCUCCUGCUGCACGGGGGUGGUUGGAAAGAGUCGGCGGUGCGGGAUGGAAUGGCGGCUUAUCAGCUGGUUGGGGGGGUAGGGGCUUACCAAGGGUUUGACGGGUAGCCGGCCUGAGAGGGUGACCGGCGACCUUGGUACUGCGAGACGGCCCAGACUCGUACCGUACGCAGCAGUGGGGAAUCUUGCACAAUGGGCGCAAGCCUGAUGCAGCAGCGCCGCGUGCGGGAUGACGGCCUUCGGGUUGUGAACCGCUUUCGCCUGUGACGAAGCCUGCGUGACGGUAAUGGGUAAGGAAGCACCGGCUAACUACGUG